AUUGUAAUGAUCUUGUUUGUUUGGUUUUCCUUUAGUUUAUGGUGGACAGAGAACGUUGGAUCUGUUGGAGAAAUUAACAAGUGAGGCUCCAUCAAAAAAACACCAGGUGCCAAUGAAAUCCUAACGACAUAUGAUUUUAGAAGCUUAUACCUGUCAGUCAAAUUGGAAGCAACGUGCCUAGCUUUUCCUUCUCAAGCAUGUACCAAACUUGCAUAACCUAGCACCAGUAUUGAGGGAUAUAGCGCACAUGAUAUAUCAUGACUCCUACUUUUUCUUUAGAGAGUGCUUUUAUAAACAGAGGAAAGGAGUCCCUAUUGGAAGCCCAAUGGCGGGAGUGCUAACAGAAAUCCUAAUUAGAGAGAUAGAAGAAGACAUAAUUAAAAGCUUAUAACCUAGUAUAAUAGAAUACAUGAGAGAUGUCGACAAUAUAUUUGUCAUAUGGAAGAAAAAUGCGAAAACAGAGAUUCUAACACAACAUUUAACCAAGGAGCAGUUUGGCCUACAACUUAAACAGGAACAAAGGAGCGAAUCUAAAAUACACUUCUUGGAUAUCCAAAUAGAAGCAAUGCAGGAUGCCUACAGAACCCAGGUCUACAAAAAGCCCAUAUAUUGCCCUAUCAUCAUACCAAAUUGGUCGGCGGAUCCAGUGAAGUAUAAAAAUGCUGC
This 666-nucleotide long non-coding RNA is filed under the name Androctonus crassicauda. The record is from RNAcentral. Lineage: Eukaryota; Metazoa; Arthropoda; Arachnida; Scorpiones; Buthidae.